Molecule: ribosomal RNA, 421 nt
Filed under: uncultured bacterium
Lineage: Bacteria
Description: bacterial SSU rRNA
Rfam family: Bacterial small subunit ribosomal RNA
Source: RNAcentral
GAUGAACGCUAGCGGCAGGCUUAAUACAUGCAAGUCGAGGGGCAGCAUGGUGUAGCAAUACACUGAUGGCGACCGGCAAACGGGUGCGGAACACGUACAGAACCUUCCUUCGAGCGGGGAAUAGCCCAGAGAAAUUUGGAUUAAUACCCCAUAGUAUAGCGGAGAGGCAUCUCUCUGUUAUUAAAGAUUUAUCACUUGAAGAUGGCUGUGCGGCUGAUUAGGUAGUUGGCGGGGUAACGGCCCACCAAGCCUGCGAUCAGUAACUGGUGUGAGAGCACGACCAGUCACACGGGCACUGAGACAGGGCCCGACUCCUACGGGAGGCAGCAGUAAGGAAUAUUGGUCAAUGGACGAAAGUCUGAACCAGCCAUGCCGCGUGGAGGAUGAAGGUCCUCUGGAUUGUAAACUUCUUUUAUAUGGG